RNAcentral lists this ribosomal RNA (444 nucleotides) under uncultured bacterium. RNAcentral's name for it is "partial 16S ribosomal RNA". It matches the Rfam family "Bacterial small subunit ribosomal RNA", at positions 338 to 795 of the family's 1533-position model. The record is from RNAcentral.
CCUACGGGGGGCAGCAGUGGGGAAUAUUGGGCAAUGGAGGAAACUCUGACCCAGCAAUGCCGCGUGAAUGAAGAAGGUCUUCGGAUUGUAAAGUUCUUUAGUCAGGGAAGAAGUCAAUGACGGUACCUGAAGAAUAAGCUCCGGCUAACUACGUGCCAGCAGCCGCGGUAAUACGUAGGGAGCAAGCGUUGUUCGGAAUGACUGGGCGUAAAGGGUGCGUAGGCGGUUGUACAAGUUAGAAGUGAAAUACCCAGGGCUUAACUCGGGUGCUGCUUCUAAAACUGUAUGACUUGAGUGCAGUAGAGGUUAGUGGAAUUCCUAGUGUAGCGGUGGAAUGCGUAGAUAUUAGGAGGAACACCAGAGGCGAAGGCGGCUAACUGGACUGCAACUGACGCUGAUGCUCGAAAGCGCGGGUAUCGAACAGGAUUAGAUACCCGUGUAGUC